RNAcentral lists this ribosomal RNA (804 nucleotides) under uncultured bacterium. Its description in RNAcentral is "bacterial SSU rRNA". It matches the Rfam family "Bacterial small subunit ribosomal RNA", at positions 8 to 796 of the family's 1533-position model. The record is from RNAcentral.
AGAGUUUGAUCAUGGCUCAGAACGAACGCUGGCGGCGUGGCUAAGACAUGCAAGUCGAACGAGCUAGGCAAUUGAGUAAUCGAGCGCCUAGUUAGUGGCGAAAGGGUUAGUAACGGCUAGGUAACGUACCCUGUACUUCGGGAUAGCGUCUGAGUGCUUGCACUCUUCCGAAAGGGGCAUUAAUACCGAAUGAUAUCCCCCGUCGAUGGGCGGGGGAUCAAAGAUUCAUCGGUGCAGGAGCGGCCUAGUUCCUAUCAGCUAGUUGGUGGGGUAAUGGCUCACCAAGGCGAUGACGGGUAGCGGGACUGAGAGGUUGGCCCGCAACAUCGGGACUGAGACACUGCCCGGACCUCCACGGAGGGCUGCAGUAACGAAUAUUGGGCAAUGAGCGAAAGCUUGACCCAGCGACGCCGCGUGUAGGAGGAAGUCCUUCGGGAUGUAAACUACUGUCAGGGGGAAGAAAGUGCGUUUCGGCGCAUUGAUCUAACCCAGAGGAAGUCACGGCUAACUUCGUGCCAGCAGCCGCGGUAAGACGAAGGUGGCAAGCGUUGUUCGGAAUCACUGGGCUUAAAGCGUGUGUAGGCGGAAGUGUAAGCGUUUUGUGAAAUCCCUCGGCUUAACCGAGGAAUUGCUUGACGAACUGCGCUUCUUGAGGCAGGUAGGGGUGCGAGGAACUCUUGGUGGAGCGGUGGAAUGCGUAGAUAUCAAGAGGAACGCCGGUGGAGAAGUCGUUGCACUGGGCCUGUCCUGACGCUGAGACACGAAAGCGUGGGGAGCGAACGGGAUUAGAUACCCUAGUAGUCC